UUCUCCUUUGUAAUAUUUCUAGAAGAAAUAUUAAUUUGGUAGUGUCCGAGGACGUAAGCUAAAUUGGCCGAACCUCGUUAAAUCUCUGGUAUUUUAUUUCUUAUUUGUUUGCUUAUAUUUAAUAGCUUUAUGUUGGUUAUAUUUAUUUAGUUAUUAUUGCUAUAAAUAUCUAAGUGAGUUCUGUCUAGUUGUUGGGUUUUAAGCGGGACCAUUUGUGAUCCCUCCAAUUUAACUGGGAAUUUUCUUAGUAUAAUUGUUGGCAUAAUAAUUAUCUAAAUAUUUCUGAUAAUAUUGUUAUUAAUAUUAUCGUCGCUUCCGCAACA
RNAcentral lists this long non-coding RNA (323 nucleotides) under Gossypium barbadense (sea-island cotton). RNAcentral describes it as "long non-coding RNA (GBAR_LNC007888)". Lineage: Eukaryota; Viridiplantae; Streptophyta; Magnoliopsida; Malvales; Malvaceae. The record is from RNAcentral.